RNAcentral lists this ribosomal RNA (555 nucleotides) under Musca domestica (house fly). Its description in RNAcentral is "partial 16S ribosomal RNA". It matches the Rfam family "Bacterial large subunit ribosomal RNA", at positions 1796 to 2620 of the family's 2925-position model. Lineage: Eukaryota; Metazoa; Arthropoda; Insecta; Diptera; Muscidae. The record is from RNAcentral.
UCGCCUGUUUAACAAAAACAUGUCUUUUUGAAUUAUUUAAAAAGUCUAACCUGCCCACUGAAUAAUUUUAAAUGGCCGCAGUAUCCUAACUGUGCAAAGGUAGCAUAAUCAUUAGUCUUUUAAUUGAAGGCUGGUAUGAAUGGUUGGACGAGAUAUUAACUGUUUCAUAAAAAUUUAUAAUAGAAUUUUAUUUUUUAGUCAAAAAGCUAAAAUAAAUUUAAAAGACGAGAAGACCCUAUAAAUCUUUAUAUUUAGGUAAUUAUAAUUUUCAGGAUUUUUUUUGUUAUGAUUGCUAAUAAUAUUUUAUUGGGGUGAUAUUAAAAUUUAAAAAACUUUUAAUUAAUAAAAUCAUUAAUUUAUGAAUAAUUGAUCCGUUAUUAACGAUUAAAAAUUUAAGUUACUUUAGGGAUAACAGCGUAAUUUUUUUGGAGAGUUCAUAUCGAUAAAAAAGAUUGCGACCUCGAUGUUGGAUUAAGAGAUAUAUUUAGGUGUAGCCGCUUAAAUGUUAAGUCUGUUCGACUUUUAAAUUCUUACGUGAUCUGAGUUCAGACCGGA